This 373-nucleotide ribosomal RNA is filed under the name uncultured organism. RNAcentral's name for it is "partial 16S ribosomal RNA". It matches the Rfam family "Bacterial small subunit ribosomal RNA", at positions 527 to 896 of the family's 1533-position model. The record is from RNAcentral.
GUAGGUGGCAAGCGUUGUCCGGAAUUAUUGGGCGUAAAGCGCGCGCAGGCGGUCCUUUAAGUCUGAUGUGAAAGCCCACGGCUCAACCGUGGAGGGUCAUUGGAAACUGGGGGACUUGAGUACAGAAGAGGAAAGCGGAAUUCCAAGUGUAGCGGUGAAAUGCGUAGAGAUUUGGAGGAACACCAGUGGCGAAGGCGGCUUUCUGGUCUGUAACUGACGCUGAGGCGCGAAAGCGUGGGGAGCAAACAGGAUUAGAUACCCUGGUAGUCCACGCCGUAAACGAUGAGUGCUAAGUGUUAGGGGGUUUCCCGCCCCCUUAGUGCUGCAGCUAACGCAUUGAGCACUCCGCCUGGGGAGUACGGCCGCAAGGCUG